Molecule: non-coding RNA, 23 nt
Filed under: Arabidopsis thaliana (thale cress)
Lineage: Eukaryota; Viridiplantae; Streptophyta; Magnoliopsida; Brassicales; Brassicaceae
Source: RNAcentral
GAAAAGAAAGGAGCUUGGGCAGA